This 2458-nucleotide ribosomal RNA is filed under the name human gut metagenome. RNAcentral describes it as "bacterial LSU rRNA". It matches the Rfam family "Bacterial large subunit ribosomal RNA", at positions 3 to 2484 of the family's 2925-position model. The record is from RNAcentral.
UUAAGUAAGGAAGGGCGUACGGCGAAUGCCUUGCCACUCGAAACUGAAGAAGGACGCGCCAAACUGCGAAAAGCUCCGUGAAGCUGUAAGGAAGCGAAGAAGCGGAGGUGUCCGAAUGGGGGAACCCGGCAGCAGACAUGAGCUGUCAUCUGCAGGUGAAUACAUGGCCUGCAAGAGAGGUACCCGGCGAACUGAAACAUCUAAGUAGCCGGAGGAAAAGAAAACAACAGUGAUUCCCUGAGUAGCGGCGAGCGAAAGGGGAGAAGCCCAAACCGGUUGAAGGACCGGGGUUGAAGGACCAUGACAUGGCAAGAACGAGGAUAGGAGAACGGGAUCGAAAGCCCGGCCGAAGAAGGUGAAAGCCCUGUAACCGAAAUCCGAGUAAAGCCUAAUGGGAUCCUGAGUACGGCGAGACACGAGAAAUCUUGUCGGAAGCAGGCGGGACCAUCCGCCAAGGCUAAAUAUAAACGAGUGAGCGAUAGUGAACCAGUACCGUGAGGGAAAGGUGAAAAGAACCGCGGGAGCGGAGUGAAAGAGAACCUGAAACCGUAUGCCUACAAGAAGUCAGAGCCCGUUAAGGGGUGAUGGCGUGCCUUUUGUAGAAUGAACCGGCGAGUUGCGACAGACUGCGAGGUUAAGGAGGAAAGACCGGAGCCGAAGCGAAAGCGAGUCUUAAGAGGGCGAAAGUAGGAUGUUGCAGACCCGAAACCGGGUGAUCUAGCCAUGAGCAGGUUGAAGUUGAGGUGAAACUCAAUGGAGGACCGAACCGACUACCGUUGAAAAGUUAGCGGAUGACUUGUGGCUAGGGGAGAAAUUCCAAUCGAACCCGGAGAUAGCUGGUUCUCCCCGAAAUAGCUUUAGGGCUAGCGUCGGAAAGAACCUUAGUGAAGGUAGAGCACUGAAUGUGUGAUGGCCCCAUCCCGGGGUACUGAAUACAAUCAAACUGCGAAUGUCAUUAAGGAUGUCCGGCAGUCAGACUGUGAGUGAUAAGGUCCAUGGUCAAGAGGGAAACAGCCCAGACCGCCAGUUAAGGUCCCAAAAUACAGGCUAAGUGGAAAAGGAUGUGGGGAUGCCCAGACAACUAGGAGGUUGGCUCAGAAGCAGCCAUCCUUUAAAGAGUGCGUAACAGCUCACUAGUCGAGUGACCCUGCGCCGAAAAUGUACCGGGGCUAAGCCUGAUACCGAAACUGCGGAUUGUAGGAAACUAUAGUGGUAGGGGAGCGUUGUAUACGAGCAGAAGCCGUACCGUGAGGAGCGGUGGAUUGUAUAGAAGUGAGAAUGCCGGUGUGAGUAGCGAGAUGUAGGUGAGAAUCCUACACACCGAAAGCCCAAGGAUUCCAGGGGAAGGUUCGUCCGCCCUGGGUAAGUCGGGACCUAACGCGAGGCCGAAAGGCGUAGUGGAUGGAAAGCAGGCGAAAGAUUCCUGCACCCGUAUAUGGAGCGAAGGAGUGACGGAGACGGAUAGUGUGACCCUCUUAAUGGAUUGAGGGCGAAGCGAAGCGGCUGGUUACCAGGCAAAUCCGGUAACCAUAAGGCUAGAGCGUGACAGGUAAGCGAAAUCUUAGGAAAGUAGCGAAGCACAUGAUGACGGCUUCCAGGAAAAGCUUCUGGCAAUGCAUAUGCGGCCCGUACCAAAACCGACACAGGUGGGCAGGGAGAGAAUCCCGAGGUGAGCGAGAGAACUGUUGCCAAGGAACUCGGCAAAAUGACUCCGUAAGUUAGCGAGAAGGAGUGCUUAAGCAAUUAAGCCGCAGUGAAGAGGCCCAAGCGACUGUUUAACUAAAACACAGCUCUCUGCGAAGUCGCAAGACGAAGUAUAGGGGGUGACACCUGCCCGGUGCUGGAAGGUUAAGAGGAUCUGUUAAGAGCGAUCUGAAGCAGUGAUCCGAAGCCCCAGUGAACGGCGGCCGUAACUAUAACGGUCCUAAGGUAGCGAAAUUCCUUGUCAGGUAAGUUCUGACCCGCACGAAAGGUGUAACGAUUUGGGCGCUGUCUCGGCAGCAGACUCGGUGAAAUCUUAGUACCUGUGAAAAUGCAGGUUACCCGCAACUAGACGGAAAGACCCCAUGGAGCUUUACUGCAGCCUGAUAUUGAAUUCUGGUCAUACAUGUACAGGAUAGGUGGGAGACAAAGAGACGUGCACGCCAGUGUACGAGGAGUCGACGUUGGGAUACCACUCUUGUGUGACCGGGGUUCUAACCUGGUAUCGAGAACAGGUACGGGGAGAGUGUCAGGUGGGCAGUUUGACUGGGGCGGUCGCCUCCCAAAGAGUAACGGAGGCGCCCAAAGGUACGCUCAGAUUGGAUGGAAACCAAUCGUCGAGUGCAAUUGCAGAAGCGUGCUUGACUGUGAGACAGACAAGUCGAACAGGGACGAAAGUCGGGAAUAGUGAUCCGGCGGUGCCGAAUGGAAGGGCCGUCGCUCAACGGAUAAAAGCUACCCUGGGGAUAACAGGCUG